CGACGAUCGUGGUCGGCCGGCUCGACGACCGGUUCGGUCCGCGGGCCGUGAUCCUCGCGACCCUGGGCGGGCUGAUCGUCUCGGCGGUCGUCGUC
Molecule: transfer RNA, 95 nt
Filed under: Agromyces sp. NDB4Y10
Lineage: Bacteria; Bacillati; Actinomycetota; Actinomycetes; Micrococcales; Microbacteriaceae
Description: tRNA-Gly
Source: RNAcentral